UACCAGCACCCCGAGUGGUCGGGACGAUUAUUGGGCCUAAAGCAUCCGUAGCCGGCCUUACAAGUCCUCCGUUAAAUCCAGCUGCUUAACAGAUGGGCUGCGGAGGAUACUAUAAGACUAGGAGGCAGGAGAGGCAAGCGGUACUCAGUGGGUAGGGGUAAAAUCCGUUGAUCCAUUGAAGACCACCAGUGGCGAAGGCGGCUUGCCAGAAUGCGCUCGACGGUGAGGGAUGAAAGCUGGGGAG
RNAcentral lists this ribosomal RNA (244 nucleotides) under uncultured bacterium. RNAcentral describes it as "partial 16S ribosomal RNA". It matches the Rfam family "Archaeal small subunit ribosomal RNA", at positions 474 to 718 of the family's 1478-position model. The record is from RNAcentral.